Long non-coding RNA from Passer domesticus (house sparrow), 953 nucleotides. RefSeq lists it as uncharacterized. The record is from RefSeq and is a predicted model, not a curated record. The transcript has 4 exons. Lineage: Eukaryota; Metazoa; Chordata; Aves; Passeriformes; Passeridae.
UGUACAGUUGAUUUGUGGGUAGUACAUUGUUCAUUUGUGCAUGCAUUUAUUUCACUUUUAGGCACUGGCUUUAUUGUUUACAAAAAGGAAGCAAUGGUUUGACAUCUAUGAGAGAAACACAGUGAAAUAUGACUGGUAUGCACUGGGCAACUGAGGGAACUCACUGGGAACCUGAAGACACCUGAGCUGGAUGAACCAACUGUUAGAUGGGCUGAGAACCAGCUGGACUGCCAGGCUCAAAAUGUCAUAAUUGAUGGCUUGGCAACCAAAUGAUAUCCAGUAGCAAAAUGGACUAAAGGACCUCUGGACAUCUCAUCCGGCCAACAUUUCUGCCCCUGACGUGUAUGGCAUGUUUGCUGUUGCUCCAAGAAUAUGAUUCUCUCCUUCAUAAAUUGUGAAUGGUCUUAUAAGAAAAGCAGUAGAUUCUCAUAAAUUGAAAGAGGACAGCUGGGAAUUACCAGCAUGAAUCCUCCCCUGUCCUAGGAGUCUGUCUGCCUGGAUUCAGGGCCAACAGUGAUACAUGAAGAGCUUUGAGGAGAUAUAUGAGAAGCUGCUUUGGGGAGCCUUCCCCUUAUUUUCCAGGCCAGGACAUAAACUCAGGCUGUCAUCCUGGUUCCAUGCCUGAGUCAUGCAAUUAUGAUUGCUCAUGCCUCCCUCAUUCCACCUCCAAUCCACACACUUGCCUUUCUGACCUGGUCCCUGACCUGUCUGAGCACUAUGGACUGGACUAGCAAUCUGAGGCCAUGUCCAACCAUUGUUCCAGUCACCAGACCUGAUCUGCUUUCCCCAUUCAGGUUCACUUCCUGGAGGCACCUGGUUUCCUGUGAAUAUCAACUUCCUUUUCAAACAAAAUGACAAUUUACAGGCAUAUUUAUUGCAGAGGGAAACUUGAUCUAAGUGCUUGAUUUGAAAGAAUAAAGAAAAAUUAAAUAAAAUAAUACAUUUAAAACAUA